Oncorhynchus tshawytscha (Chinook salmon) is the source of this 678-nucleotide long non-coding RNA. Lineage: Eukaryota; Metazoa; Chordata; Actinopteri; Salmoniformes; Salmonidae. The record is from Ensembl.
GGGGGGACAGUGGGGAACAGGUGGGGACAGUGGGGAACUGGUGGGGACAGUGGGGAACAGGUGGGGACAGUGGGGAACAGGUGGGGGCAGUGGGGAACAGGUGGGGACAGUGGGGAACAGGUGGGGACAGUGGGGAACAGGUGGGGGCAGUGGGGAACAGGUGGGGACAGUGGGGAACAGGUGGGGACAGUGGGGAACAGGUGGGGGCAGUGGGGAACAGGUGGGGACAGUGGGGAACAGGUGGGGAAGAGGUGGAGCCAGCAGGGAAGAGGUGGGGACAGUGGGGAACAGGUGGGGACAGUGGGGAACAGGUGGGGGCAGAAAAUAACAGGUGGGGACAGUGGAGAACAGGUGGGGACAGUGGAGAACAGGUGGGGACAUUGGGGAACAGGUGGGCACAGUGGAGAACAGGUGGGGGCAGAAAAUAACAGGUGGGGACAGUGGAGAACAGGUGGGGACAGUGGAGAACAGGUGGGGACAUUGGGGAACAGGUGGGCACAGUGGAGAACAGGUGGGGGCAGAAAAUAACAGGUGGGGACAGUGGAGAACAGGUGGGGACAGUGGAGAACAGGUGGGGACAGUGGAGAACAGAUGGGGCAGAAAAGAACAGGUGGGGAACAGGUGGGGAAAGUGGAGAACAGAUAGGGACAGUGGAGAACAGGUGGGGGCAGAAAAGAG